UACAGGGGCCUCGAGCGUUAGGCGGAAUCACUGGGCUUAAAGCGUGUGUAGGCGGACUUCUAAGUACCUUGUGAAAUCCCACGGCUCACCCGUGGAACUGCUCGGUAUACUGGUCGUCUUGAGCCUUCUAGGGGCGAGUGGAACAAAUGGUGGAGCGGUGAAAUGCGUAGAUAUCAUUUGGAACGCCAAUGGUGAAAACAACUCGCUGGGGAAGUGCUGACGCUGAGACACGAAAGCCAGGGGAGCAAACGGG
RNAcentral lists this ribosomal RNA (253 nucleotides) under uncultured bacterium. RNAcentral describes it as "partial 16S ribosomal RNA". It matches the Rfam family "Bacterial small subunit ribosomal RNA", at positions 524 to 776 of the family's 1533-position model. The record is from RNAcentral.